CCUACGGGAGGCAGCAGUAGGGAAUAUUGCUCAAUGGGGGAAACCCUGAAGCAGCAACGUCGCGUGGAGGAUGAAGGUUUUCGGAUUGUAAACUCCUUUUGUUAGAGAAGAUAAUGACGGUAUCUGAGGAAUAAGAUCCGACUAACUUCGUGCCAGCAGCGGCGGUAAUACGGAGGGUGCAAGCGUUACUCGGAAUGACUGGGCGUUAAGAGGGCGUAGGCGGGAUAGCAAGUCAGUUGUGAAAUCCUAUGGCUUAACCAUAGAACUGCAUUUGAAACUGUUAUUCUAGAGUAUGGGAGAGGUAGGUGGAAUUCGUGGGGUAGGGGGAAAAUCCGUAGAGAUCAAGAGGAAUACUCAUUGCGAAGGCGACCUGCUAGAACAUAACUGACGCUGAUGCACGAAAGCGUGUGGAGCAAACAGGAUUAGAUACCCCAGUAGUC
This 440-nucleotide ribosomal RNA is filed under the name uncultured bacterium. RNAcentral describes it as "partial 16S ribosomal RNA". It matches the Rfam family "Bacterial small subunit ribosomal RNA", at positions 338 to 795 of the family's 1533-position model. The record is from RNAcentral.